UUUUUUUUUUUUUUCCAAAAGAGCAAUUGCUGGCGUCCCUUUAAAGCUUGGCUGACUUCCAUCCCAGCAGCCAAUCCUCAGAGGCGGAGCUGGUGAGUUGCCUGGGCAACGGGCCUCUGGUUGGCCUGAGACGAUCAGCCGCCCACCGCCCACUUUCAAGCAGGGAGAAGUUUAACGCUUUGCUGCCUGCUCAGCUUGAUGCGUGUAUAGCCUGAACAAGGCCUCCUCCCCUCGCUCCUGAAGCCAGAAGUGGGUCUCAAAUGUCCGGAGCGGUUUAGUGGGGGAGAAGCCGGUACAGAGGCAAGGACGAUGUCUUUGCCUGGGAUAGACAGAGGUCAAGAGAUGGACACAGGAAGAAGAAGAAGUCAGGGUCCCGGGAAAGAUAGACACAAGCACAAAGUUAAGAUAGCCUCGUCCCCAGUGGCCUGCGAAAAGCUACUUAAUAACCUGGGGUUUCUACCCCAUUGGCUUUGCAGUGCUCAGUGGGCAGGUGGCAGCGCUGACGUGGGUUAAGGGGUUGAGGCCCAGGGGCAGAGCGACCCCUUGAAGCCUUACAGAGUCCCCCCCACUAUCCCGUGCUUGACUCAAGUCCUGGGAAAGGGACGAGCCUAUACAGAUGUAAUGGAGACACAGGUAUUUCCACAGGACAUGUCAUGGGGGCCUUUCUGUCUCUUUCUCCCCAAGCUGGGAGAAGUGGAGAGGCACGUGGUGUACGUGCGUGAGUGCGUGCGUGCAACAGGACACGUGUGCGUUUGUGUGUGGUGUGAAGGGCAAAGCGCCAUCGUUUUCCAUAGGGAAGUCGCCCUUGCUGGUGGUCCUAUCUCUGCUGCUCUUGCCGGAAGCCACAGGUUGGAGCCAGCUGGCCUGGUGGACUCCCAUCACCCCCCCCACAGCCACCAGCCAGAUCCCCUUAGCGCUUCUGGCUCCUCCCGCCGAGAGCGGAGGGAGGCAUGUGCCAGGCUAGAGGCAAGGCAAAAGGGAAGGCGGGCAACUCAGGCCUCAGGCCUUGGCCAUGGCCUCAGAAACCCCCUGGGCGGUGAGCUCAGCCAGCACGUUGUCUAGGUAGCUGGCGUCGGGGUAGCCGUGACCAGUGAGGUUGGAACCAAACUCCGUCUUGUGGUGAAUCUCGUUCCACACCACGGUGUCCGACUCGCCCGUGGUGUUGGAUGUUCCGAUAGUGAAGAUGAGUCUGCGUUCCCAGGCGGUGAUGAGCAAUCUCAGCACCUUGGGGGGGGGGGGAUAGGGGGAUGGGAGUGAAUGUAACGGGCAGUCUGAUCCUUAUGCCUGUUACAUUACACCAUCCAUUCACUACAUAAAAUUCUGUUUCUUUCGGAGCCUGUCAUUAGUACAGGCAGGGCUUAGACCCCACUCUUAGUACUAAAGAGUCAGUUUGUGAAUUAGUUCCCACGAUUAAAGAUCUGGAGAUUUCACAGGGCAAUCUAAGGUGCUGGCUUUUUGGUUAAAGAGGUAAAAUCAGGUGCCCUAAGUGUGAAGAUGAGGGUUUGAAGGGCUACUUGGGUUCAAAUCCUGCCUCUGCCACUUGGUUGCUGUGUGACUGUGCGUUAAGUUUCUUACCCUCUGUGAACCUUUGUUUAGCUAGUGAAUGAGAGGAAGCAGAUUCAGGGCCUGCUGCGGCCGGGCAGUGGUGGCACACGCCUUUAAUCCCAGCACUUGGGAGGCAGAGGCAAGUGGAUUUCUGAGUUCGAGGCCAGCCAGGCUUAUACAGAGAAACCCUGUCUCAGAAAACCAAAAUAAGUAAAUGAAUGAAUAAAUAAAUAAAUAGAUAAAUAAAUAAAUAAAUAAACAAACAAAUAAAAGAUAGCGGCUGGGG
This 1831-nucleotide long non-coding RNA is filed under the name Mus musculus (house mouse). RNAcentral's name for it is "long non-coding RNA chr5:120680248-120682079". The record is from RNAcentral. Lineage: Eukaryota; Metazoa; Chordata; Mammalia; Rodentia; Muridae.